Molecule: non-coding RNA, 205 nt
Filed under: Clostridium sp.
Lineage: Bacteria; Bacillati; Bacillota; Clostridia; Eubacteriales; Clostridiaceae
Source: RNAcentral
CACAAUUUAACCUUUCAGGGUGCAGAGAAUCAAGGUAUGUUAUGCCAAUCUCUCUGAGAAUAGGGAAGUCGGGAUAAGCCCGCGCAGUCUCCACUGCUGUACCGGAGGAGGAACCGGAAGGAUGUCACUGUCCGCAAACGGAUGGGAAGACAUCCGGUUUUGAUGAUGCCGAAGCCAGAAGACCUGCCCUGCAAGGCAAUUGCUC